Oryzias melastigma (Indian medaka) is the source of this 748-nucleotide long non-coding RNA. RefSeq lists it as uncharacterized. NCBI's taxonomy places the organism in Eukaryota, Metazoa, Chordata, Actinopteri, Beloniformes, Adrianichthyidae. The transcript has 2 exons. The record is from RefSeq and is a predicted model, not a curated record.
AGCAGCAGUCAAGGUGUGAUUUCUGGAACAGAUCCUCAAGGCCUGGAGUCUGACACCCUGCUGUUGAUCGUCCUUGCUCCAGAACAUGUUUAAAAUAAAAGAAACUAAGUCAUUUUAUUUACUUAAUCAUUUUGAUACAACUAAUCUUUACUCAUAGAUCGAAUUGAAGCAUCACAAUCAAUCAAAAGGGAAUAAAUCAACACCUCUAGACUUCCUCAUUGGCUGUCCCCUUUAAGCAGGAAGUGGAUUCUUCUUCUUCUUUUCGCCCCAUAGCACCAGGAUGCAUACAUUCUGGGUGUCUGGCUGUCUGGCGACACGGACCAAUCUGUCAGUUGGUGGCACGUUACUUCAACGAUUGGGGAGCCUCACCUUUCCUCUCCGAGCUGCAGGUCACGGUGUGGAUGGUGGGGACGGAUCUGGCAGGACGGAGGCCCUGUUUGUCCAGCUUGCCUUGCUCACUUUUGGAGCGCUGCUGGAGGACUUUGAUCACAGCAUCUUUCUCCAGGAGCUGAGCGUGGAGAACGCGGAUCCUAAACAGAAAAAAACACAAUUUUAUAGCUGCCACAAGACAAAAAGACAAAAAACACAAACACAAAUCAAGCACCUGUUCUCCAUUUCUUGAUGUCUGUGACUCAACAGAGGCAGGUCCUCGUUGAAGCUGUUAUUUGGAGAAUGCCGGGGUGAAUGGUUGAUGAUUGUUGUGUCUCUGAAAGUUAAGCCACAGCUGUUAAUAAACCUUAUCUUUUAA